This 499-nucleotide ribosomal RNA is filed under the name uncultured Glomeromycotina. RNAcentral's name for it is "partial small subunit ribosomal RNA". It matches the Rfam family "Eukaryotic small subunit ribosomal RNA", at positions 591 to 1092 of the family's 1831-position model. The record is from RNAcentral. Lineage: Eukaryota; Fungi; Glomeromycota.
CCAAUAGCGUAUAUUAAAGUUGUUGCAGUUAAAAAGCUCGUAGUUGAACUUCGGGAUCAAUUAGUUGGUCAUGCCUUGGUAUGUACUGACUUUAUUGGUUCUCACCUUCUAAAGAACUAUAAUGUCAUUUAUUUGAUGUUAUAGGGAAUUAGGACUGUUACCUUGAAAAAAUUAGAGUGUUUAAAGCAGGCUCACGCUUGAAUACAUUAGCAUGGAAUAAUGAAAUAGGACAUCGCAUUCUAUUUUGUUGGUUUCUAGGAUCGAUGUAAUGAUUAAUAGGGAUAGUUGGGGGCAUUAGUAUUCAAUUGUCAGAGGUGAAAUUCUUGGAUUUAUUGAAGACUAACUACUGCGAAAGCAUUUGCCAAGGAUGUUUUCAUUAAUCAAGAACGAAAGUUAGGGGAUCGAAGACGAUCAGAUACCGUCGUAGUCUUAACCAUAAACUAUGCCGACUAGGGAUCGGAUGAUGUUGAUUUUUUAAUGACUCAUUCGGCACCUUACG